Molecule: ribosomal RNA, 441 nt
Filed under: uncultured eukaryote
Lineage: Eukaryota
Description: bacterial SSU rRNA
Rfam family: Eukaryotic small subunit ribosomal RNA
Source: RNAcentral
GAUGGGUUUCUUCCUACUAGAGUUCGAUUCUGUUCUUAACUGAAUGGAGUAGCUAUCUCUCGGGGUAGUCAAUUGGUUAUUAUAUCUCCACUAAUAAGCAGAGAGGAGUAAAAUCUUCAAAGUAAGUUAUGUGGGUCAAGGUAUAAUGAUUAAUUGGAGUUCUAGUUCAUUUACUUUGAGAAAAUUAGAGUGUUUAAAGCAGCCUCUUGGGGCACUGAAUACAUUAGCAUGGGAUAAUAAAAUAGGAUCUUCACAAUAUAUUUUAUUGGUUUAAAUUGGAUAUGAAGAUAAUGAUUAAUAGGGACAGUUGGGGGUAUUCAUAUUGGGUGGUUAGCGGUGAAAUGCUCGGAUCCAUUCAAGAUGAACUAAAGCGAAAGCAUUUACCAAGGAUUGUUUUCAUUAAUACAAGAACGUAAAGUUAAGGGAUACGAAGACGAUUAG